UAGAAGCAGAGACACUUGGGAGCAGGAAUAUAAGCUCAGGCAGAAGAAUGGUACCAAGGAACCAGUGAAUACUUGAUCCCUCGCACAAUCAACAAACCAAACAAUGCAAUCACUAGUUAAUCUUCUUCUGGAGUUGAUUGAAUUCAAGGGGAAUCAUUACACCGACAGAAACAACAUCUCACGGGCAUAUCAUCAAAUGGAAUGAUUCCCGAGCUCCCAUAGAAAGACAAA
Molecule: unclassified non-coding RNA, 231 nt
Filed under: Hevea brasiliensis (rubber tree)
Lineage: Eukaryota; Viridiplantae; Streptophyta; Magnoliopsida; Malpighiales; Euphorbiaceae
Source: RNAcentral